Molecule: long non-coding RNA, 226 nt
Filed under: Panax ginseng (ginseng)
Lineage: Eukaryota; Viridiplantae; Streptophyta; Magnoliopsida; Apiales; Araliaceae
Description: long non-coding RNA (PGIN_LNC016486)
Source: RNAcentral
AAUGGUGAGGACUACUAAAACAACUUCCUAGAACCUUCAUUCCGUACCCCGACUAGUACUCGCUACAUUCUCGCCUCCUGAGAAGAAAAAUAGAACAAAAAGGAAAAGGGUGAGCUCAACUAGCCCAGUAAAGAAUAUUAUGACUAAGAUAAUAUAGAACAAAUUAUCGUUAGUCUUCAACAGGAAAAAAUCUGAUAGAAUACAAUAGACAACAAGUUUCAGAUCA